Long non-coding RNA from Melanotaenia boesemani (Boeseman's rainbowfish), 785 nucleotides. RefSeq lists it as uncharacterized. Lineage: Eukaryota; Metazoa; Chordata; Actinopteri; Atheriniformes; Melanotaeniidae. The record is from RefSeq and is a predicted model, not a curated record. The transcript is spliced from 2 exons.
CUCCGUGAAUCCUCCAUCUUAAGGUAAAACUGAAGCUAUUUUUUACGGUUUAAUUUAUCAGACUGAGGGUCCAGAACAAUCCAGAACCAGGACGGAGGAGAAGUGGUCCAACAGAACCACUGAGGAGGACAUGAGGGAACAAAGACCAGAACUAUCUGAGACCAGGAAGCUGUGAACGAGGAGACUCGAAGCAGAUGUAAAAAAACAAUAUAUAAAACUUAUUAAGAGCAGCAAAGUUACCGGAAAUCAGCAACUAUACAGACUUCCAGGGUAGAAUCUAAAACCUGCAGAACAGUAGCUCACAAGGACCGGAGUGGGAGAUCCCUGCUCUAAACAAACCCCGCUGCUGGACUCUACUACGGAACAGACAGCAGUGAUCGGAUUACUGAGGGUGAAAACUACAUAAACAUAUUAUUGCUGCACAUACACGUUUGUUAGUGAAUGAGUUAUUAUGUUAAUGUUGAUUUAAGUGAUGAUCAAGUCAUGUUUGACAAUAGAUUAAAUAAGUGUAACCAGCACAAUAAUUUCAUACAUUUUUGGAGGGAAAUAUUAAUCUUAACCAACAAGCUACGAUUUGGCCUCCAGAGAAAAAUGGACUUUUUAAAGAUGGUUAGAACUUGUAUAUAAACAAAAAAGACUGUUACCCAGGCCCACAACAAAUGACAGGGCUUCAAGUGUUCCGGCACCGUGCCGGAUCUCCGGCUUUUCACUAUGAUUCAGGGGGAGGAAAAAACAAACAAACAAACAAACAAAAAACUUAACUAUGGGUUAUAGUGGUUGAGACU